This 228-nucleotide long non-coding RNA is filed under the name Meriones unguiculatus (Mongolian gerbil). Its description in RNAcentral is "lncRNA (ENSMUGG00000021190.1)". Lineage: Eukaryota; Metazoa; Chordata; Mammalia; Rodentia; Muridae. The record is from RNAcentral.
AGUACUGGACCGGUAGAACCCAGCCCGAGGUGGUGAGCCUCCGUGUUCGAGGUGACCGAGGCGGCAGGGACACUCCGAAAGUGACAAAAGCGAUUAGCAAGUUCCUGUGCAGAAUAUUUUGGACUUUGUACAUUUUCAGUAAAUCAGAGAGAACAAACUCCAUAACAAGAAGGGGCUAAAUGAGAUGUGGGGUUCCAAGGGCUGGAAAGACAAGAGUACUGCAGAGAG